This 253-nucleotide ribosomal RNA is filed under the name uncultured bacterium. RNAcentral's name for it is "partial 16S ribosomal RNA". It matches the Rfam family "Bacterial small subunit ribosomal RNA", at positions 524 to 776 of the family's 1533-position model. The record is from RNAcentral.
UACAGAGGGUGCGAGCGUUGUUCGGAAUUAUUGGGCGUAAAGGGCGCGUAGGCGGUGCGGUAAGUCACCUGUGAAAUCUCCUGGCUCAACUGGGAGCUUGCAGGCGAAACUGCCGUGCUGGAGUGUGGGAGAGGUGCGUGGAAUUCCUGGUGUAGCGGUGAAAUGCGCAGAUAUCAGGAGGAACACCGGUGGCGAAGGCGGGACUCUGGGCCGAUACUGACGCUGAGGAGCGAAAGCGUGGGGAGCAAACAGG